CUUCAGAUGCGGCAGAGUGGAG
This 22-nucleotide small nuclear RNA is filed under the name Arabidopsis thaliana (thale cress). Its description in RNAcentral is "snRNA_18963". The record is from RNAcentral. Lineage: Eukaryota; Viridiplantae; Streptophyta; Magnoliopsida; Brassicales; Brassicaceae.